Molecule: ribosomal RNA, 532 nt
Filed under: Alternaria sp. CHIK-1
Lineage: Eukaryota; Fungi; Ascomycota; Dothideomycetes; Pleosporales; Pleosporaceae
Description: eukaryotic LSU rRNA
Rfam family: 5.8S ribosomal RNA (bases 158-311)
Source: RNAcentral
GAAGGCGGGCUGGAAUCUCUCGGGGGUUACAGCCUUGCUGAAUUAUUCACCCUUGUCUUUUGCGUACUUCUUGUUUCCUUGGUGGGUUCGCCCACCACUAGGACAAACAUAAACCUUUUGUAAUUGCAAUCAGCGUCAGUAACAAAUUAAUAAUUACAACUUUCAACAACGGAUCUCUUGGUUCUGGCAUCGAUGAAGAACGCAGCGAAAUGCGAUAAGUAGUGUGAAUUGCAGAAUUCAGUGAAUCAUCGAAUCUUUGAACGCACAUUGCGCCCUUUGGUAUUCCAAAGGGCAUGCCUGUUCGAGCGUCAUUUGUACCCUCAAGCUUUGCUUGGUGUUGGGCGUCUUGUCUCUAGCUUUGCUGGAGACUCGCCUUAAAGUAAUUGGCAGCCGGCCUACUGGUUUCGGAGCGCAGCACAAGUCGCACUCUCUAUCAGCAAAGGUCUAGCAUCCAUUAAGCCUUUUUUCAACUUUUGACCUCGGAUCAGGUAGGGAUACCCGCUGAACUUAAGCAUAUCAAUAAGCGGAGGAA